Molecule: long non-coding RNA, 621 nt
Organism: Passer domesticus (house sparrow)
Lineage: Eukaryota; Metazoa; Chordata; Aves; Passeriformes; Passeridae
Exons: 3
Source: RefSeq, a predicted model, not a curated record
GUGGCUAAACACGCCUCCUUCUUCCUCCCUGGCUUAAAGCUUUGCAUCCCUAUUGCUAAAAUCUCCCGUGAGCUCUGCUGUCCAAACAGGCUGUAAAAGCCAUAAACACCUCUCAUUGUGUCCUCCCAUCUUUUUAACUUCUCUUCAGGCUAAAGCAUUGUUUUUCUUGCAGACUACACCGAAGACUGCUGCCCAGCCAUCACUGCACGUCUGAGCUGCCCUUAAACCCCGCUCCAGAAGCAGAGAGGACAUUCAGGUGUUUUUGAUUUACUUGAGCAAAGAAAAUUGAUGAAGCUUCAUUCUUGUGCUAUUCCCUCUCCACUGACUGGGGAUAUGAAGCUCCUGGAAGGAAGAAAAGACACUGUCAUUUACACGAGAGAACUAGUGGAAGAGGGAAGGGAAGAGCCUCAAGCUGGUGCUGCUGUCUAGCUGUGGGAGUUCAGCAGCAGAACCAGAACCUUGUUAAGUCACCACGGUGUCAGAGAUCUGGAUCUGCACCAGGAACAAAGUGCCCCAAGGCCCACCUGCAUUCCAAGGUACCCAGGCUUGGAGGUGCUUGGUGUUUCAGGAAGCUGCCCUCAAAUAUCUCUGUCCCAGAGUGUUUCUGGGGCUGCAGAGGCU